UACGUAGGUGGCAAGCGUUGUCCGGAUUUACUGGGCGUAAAGAGCGCGCAGGCGGUCGAUUUAGUCGCGUGUGAAAGCCCCCGGCUCAACUGGGGAGGGUCACGCGAUACUGAUCGACUCGAAGGCAGGAGAGGGUAGUGGAAUUCCCGGUGUAGUGGUGAAAUGCGUAGAUAUCGGGAGGAACACCAGUGGCGAAGGCGGCCAACUGGGAUACACCUGACGCUGAGGCACGAAGGCGUGGGGAGCGAACGGG
RNAcentral lists this ribosomal RNA (253 nucleotides) under uncultured bacterium. RNAcentral's name for it is "partial 16S ribosomal RNA". It matches the Rfam family "Bacterial small subunit ribosomal RNA", at positions 524 to 776 of the family's 1533-position model. The record is from RNAcentral.